UACACACGACUGGUGAGCUAUCGUUGCUAAUGGUCCCGGGCUUGCACCCCGCGCUAUAAAAUACUCGGGGUUUGUUGGGUUAAAGUGGAUUUUACUACGCUCUGUGUAUUCAACACGCAUGCAACAACGCGGAAGUGCGGCAUGCAAGUGGGGCAAAUGGAACGCGCCCCGGGGACUUCAAAGGAGCGAGAGGUGGGAGGGGGGCGGUACGGCCAUCCGCGGAGAGCAGAGUCAGCGCGAGCAGACGGAUGGCCAUUGCACUCACACCGCGUAGUAAAAUCCACUGUAACCCAACAAACCCCAAUCAUCACCAGCCGUGCCUUAUUCCGUCAUGUCAUGUGGGCAUUAUAAGCUUUGUAUUGAAAACU
Long non-coding RNA from Clarias gariepinus (North African catfish), 368 nucleotides. RefSeq lists it as uncharacterized. Lineage: Eukaryota; Metazoa; Chordata; Actinopteri; Siluriformes; Clariidae. The transcript is spliced from 2 exons. The record is from RefSeq and is a predicted model, not a curated record.